ACAAAAACAUGUCUCUUUGUUAUUCUGAUAUGGAGAGUUUAACCUGCCCGGUGAUUGUUAUUUAACGGCCGCAGUACUUUGACUGUGCGAAGGUAGCAUAAUUAUUUGCCUUAUAAUUAAAGGCUUGUAUGAAUGGUUUGACGAGAAUAAAUCUGUCUUAAUUUGUUUUUUUAAAAUUUAACUUUGAAGUGAAGAGGCUUUUAUUUAAUUGAUAGACAAGAAGACCCUGUCGAGCUUGAUUUUUAUUUAUAAAUGUGUAUUUUUAUAUUAUUAAUUGAUUUUAGUUGGGGUGACUGAGGAAGUAUAUGAGUUUCCUUAUUAUUGUUUAAAUUUGUUUGUUUUGAUCCAUUGUUUUAUGAUUGGUAGAAUUAGUUACCGUAGGGAUAACAGCAUAAUCUUUUUUGAGAGUUCAUAUCGAAAAAUAGGUUUGUGACCUCGAUGUUGGAUUAAAAUUUCCUAAAGGUGCAGAAGUUUUUAAGGGUUAGUCUGUUCGACUAUUAAAAUUUUACAUGAGCUGAG
This 519-nucleotide ribosomal RNA is filed under the name Colobostylus cf. redfieldianus MS-2018. RNAcentral describes it as "partial 16S small subunit ribosomal RNA". It matches the Rfam family "Bacterial large subunit ribosomal RNA", at positions 1807 to 2609 of the family's 2925-position model. The record is from RNAcentral. Lineage: Eukaryota; Metazoa; Mollusca; Gastropoda; Littorinimorpha; Annulariidae.